RNAcentral lists this long non-coding RNA (3379 nucleotides) under Volvox carteri. RNAcentral's name for it is "long non-coding RNA (VCAR_LNC002892)". Lineage: Eukaryota; Viridiplantae; Chlorophyta; Chlorophyceae; Chlamydomonadales; Volvocaceae. The record is from RNAcentral.
UUUUGCAACGUUAUGUAAUCUUUUCGGGGACUUUCCAUGGACCUGCCGGCGAAGUAAGGGAAUGAUAUGCGCACGCCGCCGAAUAACUAAUUAUCAGUAAACAGUUAACCUGCAGGUAUCGCGUUGAACUUCUUAAUGCAAUGCCAACAUAAACCAAACAGGACAAGCCUACAACAUGACUUCCAAAGGGUGGCAUGUAUGUUAGAAGCGCCCUGCAUUCCGCUAAGGUACAGCUUGUUAGCUAUUUGGACGGAACAGUCUUUUUUGCGUUUUUUUCCGAGUACCUCUUACACUGCUUGUCCUGCGCAUCCUUUACAUGUACUACGGCUAAGGGAUCCCUUCCGGAUGAUGAAGAAUGUGCUUUAUGCUGGACCAAUUACACAUCACGAUCAGCAUCGAUUAAGCGGCUCCAGGAGCUGGUACCAGCUGGUACCGGCCGGUGCUUAGGGCCCGAUCCGCCGCCGGGAGGACGACUUCCUGAGGCAAACACGACGGACAUCCCGAACGGUGCUUACAUCCGUGUUAUGGAAAUUGCUCUUACGUGUGUGGACCGGACGGAUGGACAUGAGGCAACGUUUUGCAUCACUUGUUUCUUGGCCGCAAGCAGCAACGUAGUGAAGGACAUGGACGCGCAUGCACAGGCCAUGGAAUGGUAUGUCUAAAUCAUGGAUGGCGACGUUCAACUCUCAGAAUGGUGAUUUCUGCCUUUGGGUUCAAUUCUGAACCUGGAAUGCUGCUGGCUCUGCCCGUACCGGAAAAGUGCUUUCCGGUACGGCGGUGUCAGGAGGUGGUAUGUACGUCGUCUUAGGGGCAACCCUAAGACCAAGGGGAUGAACGAAUAGAGAUAUACUUUCUGUUUCUUGGCUGCAGCAAGUGUUGUCCUGGGCGCAACGUUGAUGGCCUGAUGCCGACGCGACCUCCUUUACGACAAUGCUAGGCAAACGCAGCGGAUGUUCAUGAAUUACUUAAGCGUUCAUAUUACUCGUCACAGCUUCAACGGCACUGUACUGGGCGGAUGUAAGACGUGCGUUGGUGGACGCGAUGGCCUUACGAAGGGGGAGAAAGACGCUUAGGAGAUGCUUGGAUUGUUAUGUACAAGUCACGGACGGGGACGUUUAACUCUAUGAAUGCUGAGUUUUAGCUACUAGUCGGGUUUUUUGAACUUCGCUGUUGUUGGUUCCGCCCGUACAGGAAAAGUGUCUUCUGAUACGGCGGUCACAGCAGGUAGUAUCCACGUCGACUUGUAUGCAAACCNAAAUACAACGAAACCAGGGGAUGAUAUGACAGUUUUGGAAUGCUUGUUUCUUGGCCGCAAGCAGCAGCAUACUUAAAUCGCGUUGGGCCAUUUGCCCAGGCUGCCGCGAGGACGACAAGCCAGGCUAAUGCAGCUGGUGUCCAUGAUUGGAUCAUUACGUGCUGAAUAUGAAAGAUUGCUACGAAGACUCUGACCCUGACGAACGUAAAAUGUGAUGUUCGUAAGGAAGAAAACAGACGCAUAUCCAAGGCAUGGAGCUGUUUGUAGGGAAACCGUAAAUGAAGGUUUAAGGAACUGAACGAUGAAUUCUGCCGGUGUGGUCGGUUCUGGAUCUCUUAUGUUGCUCGUCACGCUCCUAAGGAAAAUGUACAUUUGUUGCAGGAGGGAGUCUGUGUGUCAAGUCGUAGUCAAACCUUUUUCAAAGGGGAUGAGCACACACACAGCUUGCAUUCCAUGUUCACUAACGUCAGCCCACAGUAAGCUACUGGGCUAGACUUGGAGGGUCCGACCGGGGCAACUCGUUGCUGUGGACUUGUAGGCAAGUCAAGUAGGGCUAUGGAAUGCUAGGACAAUGUUAUUAUGUUUGUGUUAUAGGCUUGGGUAGGAAUUCUUAAGCAAUACGUUGAGUGGCUUUUCCGCCGGCGGGAGGACGACAAUCCCAUGCAAACAGGACGGAUGUUCCGAAUGUUGCUUACAUUCAUGUUGUCGAAGCUCGCGACGACGGCUCUGGACAGGACGGAUGUCAAGUGUGCGUUGGUGGACGUGAUGGCAACGUAGUGAAGGACACGGACGCGCAUGCACAGGCCAUGGAAUGGUAUGUCUAAAUCAUGGAUGGCGACGUUCAACUCUCAGAAUGGUGAUUUCUGCCUUUGGGUUCAAUUCUGAACCUGGAAUGCUGCUGGCUCUGCCCGUACCGGAAAAGUGCUUUCCGGUACGGCGGUGUCAGGAGGUGGUAUCUACGUCGUCUUAGGGGCAACCCUAAGACCAAGGGGAUGAACGAAUAGAGAUAUANNNNNNNNNNNNNNNNNNNNNNNNNNNNNNNNNNNNNNNNNNNNNNNNNNGUACCGUUACCACGUCCGAACCGACCACUUUUUCCAAAAAGUUUCAACGUAACGUAGCAUGUGAACUGGCUAUUACAGCGCUAGCCGUCAGCGAUUUCUGGCUUACCAGGGUCUCAAGAUCUAGGACCUCUUUUCCGAAAGCACUGAAAGGAGUUUUGCAACGUUAUGUAAUCUUUUCGGGGACUUUCCAUGGACCUGCCGGCGAAGUAAGGGAAUGAUAUGCGCACGCCGCCGAAUAACUAAUUAUCAGUAAACAGUUAACCUGCAGGUAUCGCGUUGAACUUCUUAAUGCAAUGCCAACAUAAACCAAACAGGACAAGCCUACAACAUGACUUCCAAAGGGUGGCAUGUAUGUUAGAAGCGCCCUGCAUUCCGCUAAGGUACAGCUUGUUAGCUAUUUGGACGGAACAGUCUUUUUUGCGUUUUUUUCCGAGUACCUCUUACACUGCUUGUCCUGCGCAUCCUUUACAUGUACUACGGCUAAGGGAUCCCUUCCGGAUGAUGAAGAAUGUGCUUUAUGCUGGACCAAUUACACAUCACGAUCAGCAUCGAUUAAGCGGCUCCAGGAGCUGGUACCAGCUGGUACCGGCCGGUGCUUAGGGCCCGAUCCGCCGCCGGGAGGACGACUUCCUGAGGCAAACACGACGGACAUCCCGAACGGUGCUUACAUCCGUGUUAUGGAAAAUUGCUCUUACGUGUGUAGACCGGACGGAUGGACAAGAGGCAACGUUUUGCAUCACUUGUUUCUUGGCCGCAAGCAGCAACGUAGUGAAGGACAUGGACGCGCAUGCACAGGCCAUGGAAUGGUAUGUCUAAAUCAUGGAUGGCGACGUUCAACUCUCAGAAUGGUGAUUUCUGCCUUUGGGUUCAAUUCUGAACCUGGAAUGCUGCUGGCUCUGCCCGUACCGGAAAAGUGCUUUCCGGUACGGCGGUGUCAGGAGGUGGUAUCUACGUCGUCUUAGGGGCAACCCUAAGACUAAGCCCAAUGGCAUACUCCAGGCCGGUUCCGGCCCGGUUCCGACCUAACGGGUCCAGUUAACGAGAUGGGUAACCGGUCGGUAGG